RNAcentral lists this ribosomal RNA (439 nucleotides) under uncultured bacterium. RNAcentral describes it as "partial 16S ribosomal RNA". It matches the Rfam family "Bacterial small subunit ribosomal RNA", at positions 339 to 795 of the family's 1533-position model. The record is from RNAcentral.
CUACGGGCCGCUCCAGUGAGGAAUAUUGCACAAUGGGGGGAACCCUGAUGCAGCAACGCCGCGUGGAGGAUGACGCAUUUCGGUGUGUAAACUCCUUUUAUAUGUCAAGAAAAUGACGGUAGCAUAUGAAUAAGCACCGGCUAACUCCGUGCCAGCAGCCGCGGUAAUACGGAGGGUGCAAGCGUUACUCGGAAUCACUGGGCGUAAAGGACGCGUAGGCGGGUUGGAAAGUCAGGUGUGAAAUCCUACAGCUUAACUGUAGAACUGAACUUGAAACUUCUAAUCUAGAGUAUGGGAGGGGGAGAUGGAAUUAGUGGUGUAGGGGUAAAAUCCGUAGAUAUCACUAGGAAUACCUAAAGCGAAGGCGAUCUCCUGGAACAUUACUGACGCUAAGGCGUGAAAGCGUGGGGAGCAAGCAGGAUUAGAUACCCUAGUAGUC